GGAGGUGGCGAGCGUUGUUCGGAUUUACUGGGCGUAAAGAGUGCGUAGGUGGUUCCGUAUGUCGGAUGUGAAAGCCCAUCGCUCAACGAUGGAAUUGCAUUCGAAACUGCGGAACUAGAGUGCAGGAAGGGAGAGCGGAAUUCUUGGUGUAGCGGUGAAAUGCGUUGAUAUCAAGAAGAACACCGGUGGCGAAGGCGGCUCUCUGGAAAGCUACUGACGCUGAGGCACGAAAGCUGGGGGAGCGAACAGGAUUAGAUACCCUGGUAGUCCCAGCCGUAAACGGUGUGCACUUGGUGUGGGGAGUAUUGACCCUCUCCGUGCCGGAGCUAACGCGUUAAGUGCACCGCCUGGGGAGUACGGCCGCAAGGUUA
This 371-nucleotide ribosomal RNA is filed under the name uncultured organism. RNAcentral describes it as "partial 16S ribosomal RNA". It matches the Rfam family "Bacterial small subunit ribosomal RNA", at positions 527 to 896 of the family's 1533-position model. The record is from RNAcentral.